Long non-coding RNA from Carassius auratus (goldfish), 943 nucleotides. RefSeq lists it as uncharacterized. The record is from RefSeq and is a predicted model, not a curated record. Lineage: Eukaryota; Metazoa; Chordata; Actinopteri; Cypriniformes; Cyprinidae. The transcript has 4 exons.
ACUUUGUUCACUGCUUGUAUGUUGUGCCUUGCAUCUGUCAGACUGUUUGCUGAUUUUCUGAACUUUGCCUUUCCCUGGUUUUGAAAUGAAGCAUCAGCAAAACCCUAUUUAUUUUCCCUAUACAAAAGAGACGUGUUUCAGAUCAAUCUCAGUGUUUCAAACAUUUCAAGGGUUGCCAUUGCCGGCUUUUCAGUGAACCAAUGAAGAAAAUGUUUGUCAAGUUACUUUUGUUGUUUUUGUGGAAUCUGAUUGGUGUGUUUGGUUUUAAAGAGAGCAUCUCAGUCAAUGAGGGAGAGUUGAUCACUCUUAACUCUGGUCUUACUGAAAUACAGACAGACGAUGACAUAGUGUGGACGUUUGGAAAUGACAGGUCUACUAUAGCUAUAAUCAACAGAGUGACCAAAAGUAUACUUGAUAAUCCUGAUAUGAGAUUCAGAGCCAGACUGAAGCUGGAUCACCAGACUGGAUCUCUGACCAUCACCGAAAGCAGAAUAUUAGACUCUGGACUUUAUGAAGUGACCGUCACCAACAGCAGCGAUUUAGAGAUUUCGAUGUUUCUGUCUACGAAAGGUUUGUUGAGACCGAUACAAAGAAGUCAGCGAUGGAGGGAGAUUCGGUCACUCUACACAGUGGUCGUACUUAUCUGAAUGAUGACUGGAUUCAGUGGUGGUUUAUAAAUAAAGACAAUUUAAUAGCUGAAAUCAAUGUACCGAUGGGCACAUUAAAUGUGUAUGAUGAUGUUCUUGAUGGGAGAUUCAGAGACAGACUGAAGCUGGACGAUCAAACUGGAUCUCUGACCAUCACAAACAUCACAACUCAACACACUGGAGAAUAUGAACUAGAGUACAACACUUGGAGCAGGCCUUCUUUUCAUCUCAAUGUCUACACUCGUCUGCCUGUUCCUGUCAUCAUCAGUAACUCUUCACAAUGUUCUUCAUCAUCA